RNAcentral lists this ribosomal RNA (856 nucleotides) under human gut metagenome. RNAcentral's name for it is "bacterial SSU rRNA". It matches the Rfam family "Bacterial small subunit ribosomal RNA", at positions 76 to 937 of the family's 1533-position model. The record is from RNAcentral.
GGCUUCGGCCGGACGGAUUGGGAUCUGAGUGGCGGACGGGUGAGUAACACGUGAGCAACCUGCCUUUAAGAGGGGGAUAGCACCUGGAAACGGGUGGUAAUACCGCAUAAGACCACAUUGCCGCAUGGCGAAGGGGUCAAAGGAGAAAUCCGCUUAAAGAUGGGCUCGCGUCCGAUUAGCUAGUUGGUGAGGUAGAGGCCCACCAAGGCGACGAUCGGUAGCCGGACUGAGAGGUUGAACGGCCACAUUGGGACUGAGAGACGGCCCAGACUCCUACGGGAGGCAGCAGUGGGGGAUAUUGCACAAUGGGCGAAAGCCUGAUGCAGCGACGCCGCGUGAGGGAAGACGGCCUUCGGGUUGUAAACCUCUGUCAUUCGGGACGAAGAAGAUGACGGUACCGAAGAAGGAAGCUCCGGCUAACUACGUGCCAGCAGCCGCGGUAAUACGUAGGGAGCAAGCGUUGUCCGGAAUUACUGGGUGUAAAGGGAGCGUAGGCGGGAAAGCAAGUUGGAAGUGAAAGACUGAGGCUUAACCUCGGAACUGCUUUCAAAACUGUUUUUCUUGAGUGAAGUAGAGGCAGGCGGAAUUCCUAGUGUAGCGGUGAAAUGCGUAGAUAUUAGGAGGAACACCAGUGGCGAAGGCGGCCUGCUGGGCUUUAACUGACGCUGAGGCUCGAAAGCGUGGGUAGCAAACAGGAUUAGAUACCCUGGUAGUCCACGCUGUAAACGAUGAUUACUAGGUGUGGGGAGUUACGGCUCUCCGUGCCGGAGCAAACGCAAUAAGUAAUCCACCUGGGGAGUACGGCCGCAAGGCUGAAACUCAAAGGAAUUGACGGGGGCCCGCACAAGCAGUGGAU